RNAcentral lists this non-coding RNA (1084 nucleotides) under Humicola fuscoatra. RNAcentral's name for it is "eukaryotic LSU rRNA". The stretch from base 487 to 1084 matches the Rfam family "Eukaryotic large subunit ribosomal RNA", at positions 1 to 625 of the family's 3401-position model. The record is from RNAcentral. Lineage: Eukaryota; Fungi; Ascomycota; Sordariomycetes; Sordariales; Chaetomiaceae. RNAcentral also lists the same sequence under 1 other name.
AUUACAGAGUUGCAAAACUCCCAAACCAUUGUGAACGUUACCUAUCCCGUUGCUUCGGCGGGCGGCCCGGGCCCCGUGCCCGGCGCCCCCCGGCCCCUCGCGGGCGCCCGCCGGAGGUAAACCAAACUCUUGAAUUGUAUGGCCUCUCUGAGUCUUCUGUACUGAAUAAGUCAAAACUUUCAACAACGGAUCUCUUGGUUCUGGCAUCGAUGAAGAACGCAGCGAAAUGCGAUAAGUAAUGUGAAUUGCAGAAUUCAGUGAAUCAUCGAAUCUUUGAACGCACAUUGCGCCCGCCAGUAUUCUGGCGGGCAUGCCUGUUCGAGCGUCAUUUCAACCAUCAAGCCCCCGGCUUGUGUUGGGGACCUGCGGCUGCCGCAGGCCCUGAAAACCAGUGGCGGGCUCGCUAGUCACUCCGAGCGUAGUAGUUACAUCUCGCUCAGGGCGUGCUGCGGGUUCCGGCCGUUAAAAGCCUUUUUUACCCAAGGUUGACCUCGGAUCAGGUAGGAAGACCCGCUGAACUUAAGCAUAUCAAUAAGCGGAGGAAAAGAAACCAACAGGGAUUGCCCUAGUAACGGCGAGUGAAGCGGCAACAGCUCAAAUUUGAAAUCUGGCUUCGGCCCGAGUUGUAAUUUGCAGAGGAAGCUUUAGGCGCGGCACCAACUGAGUCCCCUGGAACGGGGCGCCACAGAGGGUGAGAGCCCCGUAUAGUUGGACGCCUAGCCUGUGUAAAGCUCCUUCGACGAGUCGAGUAGUUUGGGAAUGCUGCUCAAAAUGGGAGGUAAAUUUCUUCUAAAGCUAAAUACCGGCCAGAGACCGAUAGCGCACAAGUAGAGUGAUCGAAAGAUGAAAAGCACUUUGAAAAGAGGGUUAAAUAGCACGUGAAAUUGUUGAAAGGGAAGCGCUUGUGACCAGACUUGCGCCCGGCUGAUCAUCCGGUGUUCUCACCGGUGCACUCUGCCGGGCUCAGGCCAGCAUCGGUUCUCGCGGGGGGAUAAAGGUCCUGGGAACGUAGCUCCUCCGGGAGUGUUAUAGCCCAGGGCGUCAUGCCCUCGCGGGGACCGAGGUUCGCGCAUCUGCAAGGAUG